CUAGCGGGCAGCAAGAAGCACAGCACCGCCAGUUACCACGCAGACAUCCUGGGGAACUGAGAAUCUUAGGAAACAAAAGUGCCACCAUGCCUGGUUUUAUGCACUGCUGGUGAUAGGAAAUAGGGCAGGUUGCCAGGUGACUGCUCUACCAAUGGAACUGUUUCUCCGGCUCUCAGCCCACCACCUACCAGAGGUAGUGGAAAAGAAAGGACAUGGGGGAAGUGGACCUGUUUAGAAGUGGUUCUUUGAAGCAGCUCUCAUCUGUGUUAUCAGGAAAUCGGCAGUUUGGUUUACAGGUCAGCAACAGCAGCUUGAUCCACUUGCAAACACUUCACAGAUACACCAGCAGUCCAGUUCGGGAGAGUCCGAAGAGCAAACAUGAAUCAGCAGUAGUGCCAUCACCUAACAGGGACAUCCAGGCCUCAGCCAGAUCAGCACAAGUCAGCAGGAGGGACCAGAACCAACAGGGACACCAGGAGUUCUUUGCUGUGCCUCUCUCAGUGAAGCAAAGAUCAUCAAAGAUGAGAGACCAAGAAGUAUUGCAGAGCUAGCUCUACAAGCAAGCCCCUCUCAGUCCUAUUUACACUCCCUCCAAAAAUCACGUGCUCUCCACAGCUCUUGCCUCAGCAUGUGAGUCUGUCUUAGCAAAACUCCACGAGUCUAUAUCAGCUGACAUCACUCUGCCAGUUGACCCAAGUCCUCAGAAGCUGCAAGAAGCCGCAGCAUACUACCAGAAGGUUUUUUUGGUGUAUUUCGAUUUCUGGAGUCCUGACAAAUGGCGCUCAACUACACAAUUUAAGGCAGACCAAUACUUGUGUGUUGUUAAUGAAGAAUCCGUCACCAUGUGUCCUUUCACGUGCUUGCUUUAGCAGAAAAUCCUUUCACGCGUGUCUGCUUCAGUGAAACAUUCCUUCACAAGUCUGCCUUAGCAAAACAUCCUUUCACCUGUGUCCACUUCAGGGAAAAACUCCUUCAUGUGUUUGUCCCAGCAAAACACCAUCCAACACAACUGACUUUCCAAAGAACCCUUCAACCUAAAAAAAAAAGAAGAAGACUCGGAAACCACCUUAGAAAUGCAUCUCACAAAAUACCUGCCAGGCCAUUAGAAAACUACAGAAAGAUUUUAAACACAUGUCUGAAAAUACCCUAAAUAUCCUAAAGACACACUUCUUUCCCCAGAAGUAAUCUAUAUAUGUAAUAUGAUUCCAAAUAAAAUUUCAACAGGGUCUUAAAAAAAUAUAGCUCCUCUAAGGCCAAGCUGGAUGACAUGAUGUGGGUGACAUGAUGUGGGUGUAAAACCAUGCCAGGGAGUUUGGUAAGGUAGAGCAGGUCGAGACCCAGAGACUCGGUGGUCACACACCUGAGGCUUAGGUGACUCUUAGCUCCCUGCCAGACUCCUGAUUUGGAACACGUGCCAUGCUUCUCACAUAAAAGAAACCUGUCCUAUGGUCACGUCUGCCCAAAACAGAGUUCCCCGUUCUAAUGAGGUACCUAGAGGCAGAGGAGUGCUUAGCCAAUAAGCUUCCCUUCCCGUUCUUGCCUGCAAAAGGUAUUUAAUCUCAGGCCCACCCUGAAAAGUGAGAUAUAGUUUUACGAAUCCAUUUUCUGCCAUGACAAUAAACUGUUUAGAACCA
This 1634-nucleotide long non-coding RNA is filed under the name Mus musculus (house mouse). RNAcentral's name for it is "antisense Igf2r RNA". The record is from RNAcentral. Lineage: Eukaryota; Metazoa; Chordata; Mammalia; Rodentia; Muridae.